This 200-nucleotide ribosomal RNA is filed under the name uncultured bacterium. RNAcentral describes it as "partial 16S ribosomal RNA". It matches the Rfam family "Bacterial small subunit ribosomal RNA", at positions 536 to 736 of the family's 1533-position model. The record is from RNAcentral.
GAGCGUUGUCCGGAUUUAUUGGGCGUAAAGCGAGCGCAGGCGGUUAGAUAAGUCUGAAGUUAAAGGCUGUGGCUUAACCAUAGUACGCUUUGGAAACUGUUUAACUUGAGUGCAGAAGGGGAGAGUGGAAUUCCAUGUGUAGCGGUGAAAUGCGUAGAUAUAUGGAGGAACACCGGUGGCGAAAGCGGCUCUCUGGCUUG